AGAGCUUAGUGGUAGAGCAUCUGCUGUAUGUGAAGAAGGUCCCAGGUUAAAUCUCUGGCAUCUCUA
This is a non-coding RNA of Podarcis lilfordi (Lilford's wall lizard), 66 nucleotides long. Lineage: Eukaryota; Metazoa; Chordata; Lepidosauria; Squamata; Lacertidae. The record is from the annotation of a GenBank genome assembly.